UACGUAGGGGGCAAGCGUUGUUCGGAUUCAUUGGGCGUAAAGGGCAUGUAGGCGGUUAUGCAAGUGUGGAUUUAAAGACAGAGGCUUAACCUUUAGUUUGGUCUGCAAACUGCAUAACUAGAGUACGGGAUGGGAAACUGGAAUUCCACGUGUAGGGGUGAAAUCUGUAGAGAUGUGGAAGAAUACCUGUGGCGAAAGCGAGUUUCUGGUCUGUAACUGACGCUGAUAUGCGAAAGUGUGGGGAGCAAACAGG
This 253-nucleotide ribosomal RNA is filed under the name uncultured bacterium. Its description in RNAcentral is "partial 16S ribosomal RNA". It matches the Rfam family "Bacterial small subunit ribosomal RNA", at positions 524 to 776 of the family's 1533-position model. The record is from RNAcentral.